RNAcentral lists this ribosomal RNA (433 nucleotides) under uncultured bacterium. RNAcentral's name for it is "partial 16S ribosomal RNA". It matches the Rfam family "Bacterial small subunit ribosomal RNA", at positions 29 to 507 of the family's 1533-position model. The record is from RNAcentral.
AACGAACGCUGGCGGCAUGCCUAACACAUGCAAGUCGAACGAGACCUUCGGGUCUAGUGGCGCACGGGUGCGUAACGCGUGGGAACCUGCCCUUAGGUUCGGAAUAACUCCCCGAAAGGUGUGCUAAUACCGGAUAAUGUCUUCGGACCAAAGAUUUAUCGCCUUUGGAUGGGCCCUCGUUGGAUUAGCUAGUUGGUAGGGUAAAAGCCUACCAAGGCGACGAUCCAUAGCUGGUCUGAGAGGAUGAUAAUCCACACUGGGACUGAGACACGGCCCAGACUCCUACGGGAGGCAGCAGUGGGGAAUAUUGGACAAUGGGCGAAAGCCUGAUCCAGCAAUGCCGCGUGAGUGAUGAAGGCCUUAGGGUUGUAAAGCUCUUUUACCCGGGAUGAUAAUGACAGUACCGGGAGAAUAAGCUCCGGCUAACUCCGUG